RNAcentral lists this ribosomal RNA (786 nucleotides) under uncultured bacterium. RNAcentral's name for it is "bacterial SSU rRNA". It matches the Rfam family "Bacterial small subunit ribosomal RNA", at positions 28 to 806 of the family's 1533-position model. The record is from RNAcentral.
GAUGAACGCUAGCUACAGGCUUAACACAUGCAAGUCGAGGGGCAUCAUGCUUAUAGCAAUAUAAGUGAUGGCGACCGGCGCACGGGUGAGUAACACGUAUCCAACCUGCCGAUAACUCGGGGAUAGCCUUUCAAAAGAAAGAUUAAUACCCGAUGGUAUAAUAAAACCGCAUGGUUUAAUUAUUAAAGAAUUUCGGUUAUCGAUGGGGAUGCGUUCCAUUAGGCAGUUGGUGAGGUAACGGCUCACCAAACCUUCGAUGGAUAGGGGUUCUGAGAGGAAGGUCCCCCACAUUGGAACUGAGACACGGUCCAAACUCCUACGGGAGGCAGCAGUGAGGAAUAUUGGUCAAUGGGCGCGAGCCUGAACCAGCCAAGUAGCGUGAAGGAUGACUGCCCUAUGGGUUGUAAACUUCUUUUAUAUGGGAAUAAAGUGAUCCACGUGUGGAUUUUUGUAUGUACCAUAUGAAUAAGGAUCGGCUAACUCCGUGCCAGCAGCCGCGGUAAUACGGAGGAUCCGAGCGUUAUCCGGAUUUAUUGGGUUUAAAGGGAGCGUAGGUGGACAGUUAAGUCAGUUGUGAAAGUUUGCGGCUCAACCGUAAAAUUGCAGUUGAUACUGGCUGUCUUGAGUACAGUAGAGGUGGGCGGAAUUCGUGGUGUAGCGGUGAAAUGCUUAGAUAUCACGAAGAACUCCGAUUGCGAAGGCAGCUCACUGGACUGCAACUGACACUGAUGCUCGAAAGUGUGGGUAUCAAACGGGCCUAGAUACCCUGGUAGUCCACACAGUAAA